CCCGGCGACCGGCGCGACGGUGAGUAACGCGUAUGCAACUUACCUAUCAGGAGGGGAUAACCCGGACGAAGUCGGACUAAUACCGCAGGAAGCAGGGGCCCCGCAUGGGGAUAUUUGCUAAAGAUUCAUCGCUGAUAGAUAGGCAUGCGUUCCAUUAGGCAGUUGGCGGGGUAACGGCCCACCAAACCGACGAUGGAUAGGGGUUCUGAGAGGAAGGUCCCCCACAUUGGUACUGAGACACGGACCAA
Molecule: ribosomal RNA, 248 nt
Filed under: uncultured bacterium
Lineage: Bacteria
Description: partial 16S ribosomal RNA
Rfam family: Bacterial small subunit ribosomal RNA
Source: RNAcentral